This 481-nucleotide ribosomal RNA is filed under the name uncultured bacterium. RNAcentral's name for it is "partial 16S ribosomal RNA". It matches the Rfam family "Bacterial small subunit ribosomal RNA", at positions 28 to 507 of the family's 1533-position model. The record is from RNAcentral.
GAUGAACGCUGGCGGCGUGCUUAACACAUGCAAGUCGAACGAAGCAUUUAAGACAGAUUACUUCGGUUUGAAGUCUUUUAUGACUGAGUGGCGGACGGGUGAGUAACGCGUGGGUAACCUGCCUCAUACAGGGGGAUAGCAGCUGGAAACGGCUGGUAAUACCGCAUAAGCGCACAGUACCACAUGGUACAGUGUGAAAAACUCCGGUGGUAUGAGAUGGACCCGCGUCUGAUUAGCUUGUUGGCGGGGUAACGGCCCACCAAGGCGACGAUCAGUAGCCGACCUGAGAGGGUGACCGGCCACAUUGGGACUGAGACACGGCCCAGACUCCUACGGGAGGCAGCAGUGGGGAAUAUUGCACAAUGGAGGAAACUCUGAUGCAGCGACGCCGCGUGAGUGAAGAAGUAGUUCGCUAUGUAAAGCGCUAUCAGCAGGGAAGAUAGUGACGGUACCUAACUAAGAAGCUCCGGCUAAAUACGUG